Molecule: ribosomal RNA, 483 nt
Filed under: uncultured bacterium
Lineage: Bacteria
Description: partial 16S ribosomal RNA
Rfam family: Bacterial small subunit ribosomal RNA
Source: RNAcentral
GACGAACGCUGGCGGCGUGCUUAACACAUGCAAGUCGAACGCUGAAGCUCAGCUUUUGUUGGGUGGAUGAGUGGCGAACGGGUGAGUAACACGUGAGUAACCUGCCCCCUUCUUUGGGAUAACGCCCGGAAACGGGUGCUAAUACUGGAUAUUCACUGGUCUUCGCAUGGGGGUUGGUGGAAAGGGUUUUUCUGGUGGGGGAUGGGCUCGCGGCCUAUCAGCUUGUUGGUGGGGUGAUGGCCUACCAAGGCUUUGACGGGUAGCCGGCCUGAGAGGGUGACCGGUCACAUUGGGACUGAGAUACGGCCCAGACUCCUACGGGAGGCAGCAGUGUGGAAUAUUGCACAAUGGGCGCAAGCCUGAUGCAGCGACGCCGCGUGAGGGAUGGAGGCCUUCGGGUUGUGAACCUCUUUCGCUCAUGGUCAAGCCGCAACAAUGGUUGUGGUGAGGGUAGUGGGUAAAGAAGCGCCGGCUAACUACGUG